Molecule: ribosomal RNA, 556 nt
Filed under: uncultured bacterium
Lineage: Bacteria
Description: bacterial LSU rRNA
Rfam family: Bacterial large subunit ribosomal RNA
Source: RNAcentral
CAAAGUCGCAAGACGACGUAUAGGGUCUGACGCCUGCCCGGUGCUAGGAAGGUUAAAGGGAGCUGUCAGGGCAACCGAAGCAGUGAACUGAAGCCCCAGUAAACGGCGGCCGUAACAAUAACGGUCCUAAGGUAGCGAAAUUCCUUGUCGGGUAAGUUCCGACCUGCACGAAUGGCGUAACGACUUCCGCACUGUCUCGACCAGAGACUCAGUGAAAUUGAAUUAGGGGUGAAGAUGCCCUUUACCCGCGGCAAGACGAAAAGACCCUGUGAACCUUUACUGCAACUUGGCAGUGAAUACAGGCCUUGACUGUGUAGGAUAGGUGGGAGGCUAAGAAGCCGGAGCACAAGUUUCGGUGGAGCCGUCGUUGAAAUACCACCCUGUCGAGUCCCGUAUUCUAACCUGGGCCGGUGAAUCCUGGCCAGGGACACUGUCUGGUGGGCAGUUUGACUGGGGCGGUCGCCUCCGAAAAAGUAACGGAGGCGUGCGAAGGUUCCCUCAGGCUGGGCGGAAACCAGCCGUUGAGUAUAAAGGCAUAAGGGAGCUUAACUGCGAG